RNAcentral lists this ribosomal RNA (356 nucleotides) under Aeromonas hydrophila. RNAcentral describes it as "partial 16S ribosomal RNA". It matches the Rfam family "Bacterial small subunit ribosomal RNA", at positions 70 to 421 of the family's 1533-position model. The record is from RNAcentral. Lineage: Bacteria; Pseudomonadati; Pseudomonadota; Gammaproteobacteria; Aeromonadales; Aeromonadaceae.
GAAAGUUAGCUUGCAUACUUUUGCCGGCGAGCGGCGGACGGGAUGAGUAAUGCCUGGGAAAUUGCCCAGCUCGAGGGGGAUAACAGUUGGAAACGACUGCUAAUACCGCAUACGCCCUACGGGGGAAAGCAGGGGACCUUCGGGCCUUGCGCGAUUGGAUAUGCCCAGGUGGGAUUAGCUAGUUGGUGAGGUAAUGGCUCACCAAGGCGACNAUCCCUAGCUGGUCUGAGAGGAUGAUCAGCCACACUGGAACUGAGACACGGUCCAUACUCCUACGGGAGGCAGCANUGNNGAAUAUUGCNCANUGGGGGAAACCCUGAUGCNGCCNUGCCGCGUGUGUGAANAAUNGCCUUCGG